UUUAUUUGAUUUUUUUUUUCAAUUGCGUUAUAAGUGAUGAGGAGAUUUUACAAAGGCUUGUUUUGCAAGGUUGAAGAUUAAACCAAAUUCAUUUGCGAGUCUGUUUAAUAAAAUAAGUCAUUCAGAAACAAGUUUGGAGAUGUUUCUUAAAUCUCAAUGUUCAUUAAAAGGUAUUCUAGAUUCUAUGGCAUUGGAUGAACCUGAAAUCUUAGAAAUAGAUAAUAGGUCAUUUACCGACAAAGUGAUGAUUAAUAUCCUUAUACCCAUUCAUGAUGGGGAUUUUUGUUGUAUUGUAAGACCAUCUUGUCAAGUAGGUGAUUUGGUUCCGUGUUCCGAGGUACAUCAAAUUGGCUUUACCUGUGAGCAGUCACUCGCUUACAUUGUAACUCCUGACUAUAUAAUUUAAGAUUUUAGUAUUUUAGAGGAUGCAAAUGUUCAGACCCCUGUCUUGAAGGAGUGCCCUGAGAUCCUGAAGAAGCAAAAAUUAUUGUUUGAUCAAAUGGUGGUUUUACCCUAUAGAUUGACAUAGGUAAAUAAAUUAACAAUAAAGUGUAUGGUGUGCUCGGUCCAAAUGGACAUUUUGGGAUUUUGUAGUACAUUAAGAAAUAAUAGUAUUUUAUUAGUGAGUGGAAGUGUGUAAGAGAUUUUGACAUUUUUGUCAUUUUACUUUAUGUAAAAAAUAA
This is a long non-coding RNA of Andrographis paniculata, 683 nucleotides long. RefSeq lists it as uncharacterized. The transcript has 3 exons. The record is from RefSeq and is a predicted model, not a curated record. Lineage: Eukaryota; Viridiplantae; Streptophyta; Magnoliopsida; Lamiales; Acanthaceae.